RNAcentral lists this long non-coding RNA (200 nucleotides) under Capsella rubella. RNAcentral's name for it is "long non-coding RNA (CRUB_LNC004385)". The record is from RNAcentral. Lineage: Eukaryota; Viridiplantae; Streptophyta; Magnoliopsida; Brassicales; Brassicaceae.
UUAAAAUUUUGUAAAGUUAGUAUUCUAAAAAUAGAAACUCCAUUCUUAGCUAGUAAUACCAUUUCAUUAACAAUGUUACGAUUGGAGGUUUGUAUCAUAGAUUAUGAUAAACACUUACGUAUAGUGUAUAGUUGACCAAAAAAAAAAGAAAAGAAAAAAAAACAAGUAUAUUUUAUAUGAUAAGUGAAAUCGCAAAAAAC